This 795-nucleotide long non-coding RNA is filed under the name Carassius auratus (goldfish). RNAcentral describes it as "lncRNA (ENSCARG00000017416.1)". The record is from RNAcentral. Lineage: Eukaryota; Metazoa; Chordata; Actinopteri; Cypriniformes; Cyprinidae.
AGCGGAGUGGGGCCACAGAACACAUUGGAAGGAGCUGCUGGAUUGGUCGCAUUUUGACAUAGUAUCGAAGCAAAUCUCAUUCUCUGUGGCAUAUUUUACUGUUUUCUCUACAUCAUGAAGUGCCUGAUCAUACAAUUCUGGAUGUUGGCUCUACUGGUCUCCCAGGCUCAGGCUAAUGUGACAGAGACUGUGCCAACAAGUAUAGAUUCUACAACUAAAACUACAACGCCAACAAGUGUAGAUUCUACAACUAAAACUACAACUCAACCCAUGACUACGCCAACGAGUGUAGAUUCUGCAACUAAAACUACAACUCAACCCAUGACUACGCCAACAAGUGUAGAUUCUACAACUACAACUACAACUCAACCCAUGACUACGCCAACAAGUGUAGAUUCUGCAACUAAAACUACAACUCAACCCAUGACUAGGCCAACAAGUGUAGAUUCUGCAACUAAAACUACAACUCAACCCAUGACUACGCCAACAAGUGUAGAUUCUACAACUUCAACUACAGCUCAUCCCACUGUGCCAAUAAGUGUAGAUUCUACAACUAAAACUACAACUCAACCCAUGACUACGCCAACAAGUGUAGAUUCUACAACUAAAACUACAACUCAACCCAUGACUACGCCAACAAGUGUAGAUUCUGCAACUAAAACUACAACUCAACCCAUGACUACGCCAAUGAGAGUAGAUUCUACAACUACAACUACGGCAUCAUCCAGCAACUCACUGACAGUUUCCGUCAUCAGCUAUACUCUUUCCAUCCUGCUUUACAUGCUGUUGAAUUGA